This is a ribosomal RNA of Aotus nancymaae (Ma's night monkey), 103 nucleotides long. Lineage: Eukaryota; Metazoa; Chordata; Mammalia; Primates; Aotidae. The record is from Ensembl.
AUCUACCGCCAUACUACCCUGAAGGCGCCAAGAUCUCGGAAGCUAAGCAGGGUCAGGCCUGCUUAGUACUUGGAUGGGACAAUAGUGGUAAGGUAAGCAGAUU